This is a non-coding RNA of Schistosoma rodhaini, 45 nucleotides long. NCBI's taxonomy places the organism in Eukaryota, Metazoa, Platyhelminthes, Trematoda, Strigeidida, Schistosomatidae. The record is from Rfam.
AUUUAGCUGACGAGUCCUAAAAAGGACGAAAAACGUGUCCUAGAU